UGCCAGCCGCCGCGGUAACACGGAGGGGGCAAGCGUCGUUCGGAAUUACUGGGCGUAAAGGGCGUGUAGGCGGCGAUGUUAGUUAGGCGUGAAAGCCCCGGGCUCAACCUGGGAAUAGCGCUUGAUACUGCAUUGCUUGAGUCCGGGAGAGGUGAGCGGAAUUCCCAGUGUAGAGGUGAAAUUCGUAGAUAUUGGGAAGAACACCGGUGGCGAAGGCGGCUCACUGGACCGGUACUGACGCUGAGGCGCGAAAGCGUGGGGAGCAAACGGGAUUAGAUA
Molecule: ribosomal RNA, 279 nt
Filed under: uncultured bacterium
Lineage: Bacteria
Description: partial 16S ribosomal RNA
Rfam family: Bacterial small subunit ribosomal RNA
Source: RNAcentral